UUGGAGGGCAAGUCUGGUGCCAGCAGCCGCGGUAAUUCCAGCUCCAAUAGCGUAUAUUAAAGUUGUUGCAGUUAAAAAGCUCGUAGUUGAACUUUGGGCCCGGUUGGCCGGUCCGAUUUUUUCGUGUACUGGAUUUCCAACGGGGCCUUUCCUUCUGGCUAACCUUGAGUCCUUGUGGCUCUUGGCGAACCAGGACUUUUACUUUGAAAAAAUUAGAGUGUUUAAAGCAGGC
RNAcentral lists this ribosomal RNA (232 nucleotides) under uncultured fungus. RNAcentral describes it as "partial 18S ribosomal RNA". It matches the Rfam family "Eukaryotic small subunit ribosomal RNA", at positions 548 to 785 of the family's 1831-position model. Lineage: Eukaryota; Fungi. The record is from RNAcentral.